AAAGUUUGACAGACAAUCGCUGGCAGCGCGAGCUGCGAGAGGAAAGUCCGGGCUCCAUAGGGCAGGAUGCUGGAUAACGUCCAGUCAGCGCGAGCUGAAGGAUAGUGCCACAGAAAUGGACCGCCGAUGGCUGCUAGCGGCCGCUAGCAGAUCAGGCAAGGGUGGAACCGUGGUGUAAGAGACCACGAGGAGCGUGGGUGACUACGUUCCUGGUAAACCCCAUCUGGAGCAAGACCGAGAGGACGCCGCAGCUUUCGAGGCUGCAGCCUUUGCCCGAGGCGCGUCCGGGUUGGUUGCUGGAGCCGUGCAGCAAUGUACGGCCUAGAUAGAUGAUUGUCGCUCCACAGUGGGAGGGUCGUUCCCGUUCGAACCACCAGGAGUACAGAACCCGGCUUACGGCAAGCUUUCCGA
RNAcentral lists this RNase P RNA (411 nucleotides) under Paenibacillus soyae. Its description in RNAcentral is "RNase P RNA component class A". It matches the Rfam family "Bacterial RNase P class A". From Rfam's summary of the family: Ribonuclease P (RNase P) is a ubiquitous endoribonuclease, found in archaea, bacteria and eukarya as well as chloroplasts and mitochondria. Its best characterised activity is the generation of mature 5'-ends of tRNAs by cleaving the 5'-leader elements of precursor-tRNAs. Cellular RNase Ps are ribonucleoproteins. The record is from RNAcentral. Lineage: Bacteria; Bacillati; Bacillota; Bacilli; Caryophanales; Paenibacillaceae.